CCUACGGGUGGCAGCAGUGAGGAAUAUUGGUCAAUGGGCGAGAGCCUGAACCAGCCAAGUCGCGUGAGGGAGUACUGCCCUAUGGGUUGUAAACCUCUUUUGUCGGGGAGCAAAAGCCGGACGUGUCCGGCUGUGAGAGUACCCGAAGAAAAAGCAUCGGCUAACUCCGUGCCAGCAGCCGCGGUAAUACGGAGGAUGCGAGCGUUAUCCGGCUUUAUUGGGUUUAAAGGGUGCGCAGGCGGAUUUUUAAGUCAGCGGUAAAAUCGUGGGGCUCAACCCCAUCCAGCCGUUGAAACUGGGGAUCUAGAGUGUGCGAGAGGUAUGCGGAAUGCGUGGUGUAGCGGUGAAAUGCAUAGAUAUCACGCAGAACCCCGAUUGCGAAGGCAGCAUACCGGUGCACAACUGACGCUCAGGCACGAAAGCGUGGGUAUCGAACAGGAUUAGAUACCCCUGUAGUC
Molecule: ribosomal RNA, 458 nt
Filed under: uncultured bacterium
Lineage: Bacteria
Description: partial 16S ribosomal RNA
Rfam family: Bacterial small subunit ribosomal RNA
Source: RNAcentral